UUACAGGGAGGCGCUCGUGUCGGCGAGCAAGAGGGUUGGCGGAGUGGAUGUCACGGUCGCAGGUAAUACAGAGAGCGGCUGCAUCGGCCUUGCAAGUGACGUGAGCGGGCGCUUGCUCGCAGACUUCGCAGACCCAAACUCGAGCGUGACGCGAGGCGAGCUUGUUGGCCGCGUGGAUUUUGGAGUCACAGUUGGAGCAUAGAAACGCCGAGUCAGCCCGGCAGAAAAGAGUCGCCGUCGCUGAUUUGCACGAGUCACACAACUUCGAUGCCAUUUCAACAACCCAGUUUGCUAGAAGUUAU
This 302-nucleotide long non-coding RNA is filed under the name Gossypium barbadense (sea-island cotton). Its description in RNAcentral is "long non-coding RNA (GBAR_LNC003640)". The record is from RNAcentral. Lineage: Eukaryota; Viridiplantae; Streptophyta; Magnoliopsida; Malvales; Malvaceae.